UAUCUCUGUAGAGUCUGCAUAUCAAUAAGCGGAGGAAAAGAAACUAACAAGGAUUCCCUUAGUAACGGCGAGUGAAGCGGGAAGAGCUCAAAUUUGAAAUCUUCAAGGUUCUACCUUGACGAAUUGUAGUUUAUAGAAGUGUUUUCUGUUAGUGGAGUGGCAAAAGUUCUUUGGAAUAGGACAUCAUAGAGGGUGAGAAUCCCGUAUUUGGUCGUUCCUCCUAGCGUUGUGAUACACUUUCAACGAGUCGGAUUGUUUGGGAAUGCAGUCCAAAAUGGGCGGUAAAUUUCAUCUAAAGCUAAAUAUUGGCGAGAGACCGAUAGCGAACAAGUACCGUGAGGGAAAGAUAAAAAGAACUUUGAAAAGAGAGUUAAACAGUACGUGAAAUUGUCAAAAGGGAAGCGUUUGACACCAGUGUUGUUUUUCCGAAAAUCAAUUACGAAUGUUUUAUUUUUGAGGAGUUAUGACUUCAUCGGCUUGCUCCUUUCUUUAUGAAACUUUCUUAAUGCACUUUUCGGUUAACAAGUCAACAUCAAUUUCUUUUGCUGUAAAAGGGUCAUGAGGAAGGUGGCUUUCUUUUCGGAGAAAGUGUUUAUAGCCUUGUGACUUCUGCAAUCGGAGAGAUUGAGGUCUGCAGCGUAGAUCCUUCGGGGUUAGAUACAUUUGUGCUAAGUUAUAGCCUUUCAUAGACAACUUGUUGACUAUGAUUCAGUCUUGUAGCUUACUCGCUUAUGCUAUUUUACCUACGCUUAGGAUGUUGAGUAGCGACAUACGCAC
This 777-nucleotide ribosomal RNA is filed under the name uncultured Neocallimastigales. RNAcentral describes it as "partial large subunit ribosomal RNA". It matches the Rfam family "Eukaryotic large subunit ribosomal RNA", at positions 24 to 649 of the family's 3401-position model. Lineage: Eukaryota; Fungi; Neocallimastigomycota; Neocallimastigomycetes; Neocallimastigales. The record is from RNAcentral.